This 564-nucleotide long non-coding RNA is filed under the name Heterocephalus glaber (naked mole-rat). Its description in RNAcentral is "lncRNA (ENSHGLG00000040187.1)". The record is from RNAcentral. Lineage: Eukaryota; Metazoa; Chordata; Mammalia; Rodentia; Bathyergidae.
CAGGGCUGAGGCUCCUGAAGAAGCACGUGACUUGAUGAGGUGAUUCUGAUUGUGAAACUGACAAACUGAUCCUGAAAUUCAAAAUAAAACACAACAGAUGUGGGAUAGCCAAUGUGACUCUGAAAAAUUAAUGAUGAGAGACUGGACAUUUUCUUCCUAAAAUCAGAAAGAAGGCAAAGAUGUCCUUUUUCACUACUUCUAUUCAACAUCAUUGUGGAAGUCCUAGCUACAGUUAUCAGAUAAGAAAAUGAGGUAAAAUAAAGAUAUACAGAUUGGAGAGAAAAAAAAUAAAAAUUGUUGUUACUAACAGAUGCGUGUUUAUCCCUGUGGAAAAUACCAAAUACUCUACAAAACAAAACAAAAAAUAAUCAAACUCAUGGAACUAACAGGCAAGCACACAGUACUAGCAAAGACACAGCAUAGUAUAGACACAGUCAGUAUAGUAAAGUCAAUUGCUUUCCUGUACUCAAUGUAAAAUUCAAAUUUGAAAUGAAAUUUCAUUUGCAAUAGUACCCAAUUUGCAAAUUUACCAUUUGAAAAAUUUCCAUUUGCAAUAGUAACCCC